AGCGAACGCUGGCGGCAGGCCUAACACAUGCAAGUCGAACGAACCUUUCGGGGUUAGUGGCGGACGGGUGAGUAACACGUGGGAACGUGCCUUUAGGUUCGGAAUAACUCAGGGAAACUUGUGCUAAUACCGAAUGUGCCCUUCGGGGGAAAGAUUUUUCGCCUUUAGAGCGGCCCGCGUCUGUUUAGCUAGUUGGUUGAGGUAAUGGCUCACCAGGGCGACGAUCAGUAGCUGGUCUGAGAGGAUGAUCAGCCACAUUGGGACUGAGACACGGUCCAAACUCCUACGGGAGGCAGCAGUGGGGAAUCUUGCGCAAUGGGCGAAAGCCUGACGCAGCCAUGCCGCGUGAAUGAUGAAGGUCUUAGGAUUGUAAAAUUCUUUCACCGGGGACGAUAAUGACGGUACCCGGAGAAGAAGCCCCGGCUAACUUCGUG
RNAcentral lists this ribosomal RNA (434 nucleotides) under uncultured bacterium. RNAcentral describes it as "partial 16S ribosomal RNA". It matches the Rfam family "Bacterial small subunit ribosomal RNA", at positions 29 to 507 of the family's 1533-position model. The record is from RNAcentral.